RNAcentral lists this ribosomal RNA (109 nucleotides) under uncultured eukaryote. RNAcentral's name for it is "partial small subunit ribosomal RNA". It matches the Rfam family "Eukaryotic small subunit ribosomal RNA", at positions 1676 to 1785 of the family's 1831-position model. The record is from RNAcentral.
UCGCACCUACCGAUUGAGUGAUCCGGUGAAUAAUUCGGACUGAAGCAGUGUUCAGUUCCUGAACGUUGCAGCGGAAAGUUUCGUGAACCUUAUCACUUAGAGGAAGGAG